GGCAUCCACGCUGCCGCUGUAGACCAUCCCCACGAGGGCACGAGGCCACGACCUCUUUGCCGGUGUCGCCGCGACCCACCCUCUCCGUCGAUGUAGCCACGGCCCGCCAUCCCUGCCUCCACCGCCGCGUCCGUCACGCGCCUCCGUUCCGAGCCCGCCGUCACAUGCCUCUGGUCUUUCUGCUCCACGUGCCCCAAGCGCCUCCCGUCCUUCUGCUCCACGAGCCCCAAUCGCGUCGCCGCGGGAGCCACUGUAUGCAUACACCAUGGAGAAAGCAAGCGCAACCGUCGCCGUCACCAUGGAUGAUCCAAGUGCAACCCCGCCAAGGAGGCCUCAAGGCGUGAGUACAACCUUAAAUUCUUUACAUGAAGCCAAUUUCGGGGUUUCUGGAUUCUUCAUAUUAGCAGUAUCAAAUUUUCCAAUGGCAAAGAAUUUGAUUCUAUCCUGGAACAACAACUCAUCCAGGAGGUUUAUAACUAACUUAUGUUAUAUUGAGAUUGCAACCAGAUUCCCCUAAAAAAGAGAUUGCAACCACAUUCCCGUAAAAAAAGAGAUUGCAACCAGAUUGAUAUAAUAACUUUAUCUGCUAUUGACCUAUGAGAUGCCAACUAGAGUACCCGACUGUUUUAAUACUAACAUUUUUUGUAUCUGCUAAGCUGAGAGAAGAAAAGGUGAACUAUCACUUUCAAUUUUCUCAGUCCCUGUCGUUCAGUUAUUGCAACAUUUGCUUUAUUACAAAGUUGAACUCUUGUUUUCCCUGACUCAAGUGUACUGUCGUCAAUUCAAAGUACAGGUUUAGUUAUAGUUCAUUUUGAACAAUAUGCCAAGAAUAAUGUAUAAAGGUACAAAUUUCAGCAAAAUAUUUUCAAAAGUUUUAAAUAUAUAUUUACAUGCACCAUAAACAGUUCUUAAUAUACUUCGAUGAAGUUAUGUGCUAAUGUUCAGUUGACUAUGCACAAAUCACCUAAGAGGGUUUUCAGAAAUAUUGUAUGUGCAGAGGGUUUGAUCUGAUCAUUGGAUUUUCUGAUGUGGCGGCUUUUAAAACCAUUACAAAAGGCCUGGUUCAACUGUCUCCAGCCAUUCUAGACCUUCCUCAUUUGGGUACAAAGUGCAGAUGCUUUCAGGAACUUUGGUUUACAAUGCUCGGAAAGGUCAAAAGUAAUACUACUUUCUGGUUAUCUCAUUCUUAAUAUUCAGAAUGAACAUCAAGAUGGAGGAAAGGGGAGAAAGCCAUAGAGAUUACAAAUUUUAUAUUGCUGACACAAUAUUUAUUCUGAUAUUUGGAGGCAUGUUGAUUCAUAACAAGUGGUAAUUCAGGUUAUCUGUAUUAAUUCUGAAUUACGCGCUUUCCAUCAAAUCCUUGGUUGACAUGAUAUAUAACUUAUUACGCUUGGCAUGCAUUUAAUUUAAUAUAUACUUAGACGUGCAUUCAGUUCAUUUAGUUAUCAUAUGAACCCGAAAUAAACACACCUGAAUUUACUUUGCUCUACUGUUGGUUACACCUAAACUUGUCUGAGCCAGAUUUUCUAUGUUCGCUUUUUCAUCAUAAUCGUCCCCCUCUCUAUGCUAUUGUUGUGAUAAUCUUUGAAGUGUGCAAGGAUGUGCUUGGCCUAAAGACAGAAUAAAAAAUAUCCGUUGGUAGGAAGUUGAAGUGUCAUUAAUUCAUCAGGGGAUAAGUAAAUAGUCGAUAUGCCAUUUUCAUCAAAGAAUUCUCAUUAAGCAUGAGAGUUAAGGUCCUGGUCAAAGUGUUGAGUUGUAAAAGCUCCCUGUAUAAUCUCUAUCUCUAUGUCUACUUAUAUAAAAGCAAGAACCGUGUGGGAUACAUUUAAUAUCAGCCGUUAAACCAUCAAAACCCAAGUGGUCAGAUCGUUUCCAUGUUGAGUACCUCAACAUAUUUAGCAACUCCCAGGUCCGCUAAAAAUGUAAUUCCCCGCAAAUACCCUCUACGUUGGCCUCUGCGUGUUACUCAGAUCACCUCCACCAAAGAUUCUCGUUGUUUCCCAAUCAACAUCGUUCUCUGCCGCACCUUCCUCAGCAGUCGCCCUCCAUCCUGCCAUUCUAGGCGGUCUUCCUCCGCAGCCCGCGUGGCCCAACCAUCCUGCUCUACCGUCACCGACGAUGCCGUCAAGGGCGUCCUUCUCUCCCAUCUGUCAUCGAGGCCAGCCGCCGCGAUCCGGUCCUCGUGGACUGAAGAAGCAUGAAGGAAAAUUGAUGGCACUGUCCAGUACAUGAUCCUUUCACACACGGAAGCUGAUGACUGAUCGCACAACAUGUACUUAAACGGUGCCAUAUUGCAUAUAAAGUAAUUGUGUGGCAACUGGUUUCAGCGUGAAGGGAAGAUGUCUUCGGUGUUUUUUAUGUGCCUUGCACUAUAGUCCUUUUGCCGGCACGGACGGGGUACUUGUCCGACUGGAUGUACAGGAAGAUAGCUCCGUAGAGGUCAACGCGUCGCCCCCGCCGACUCCCAACUGUUAUAAGCAUGCCGACCAUGAGGACCGCUUGGUCAGGUGGGAUCUGCAGUGUCUCCACCCGUCAACAAUUAACCUUUGCAUUUUGGUUCAGAUGUGCUAUAAAAGUUCUAUAGUGUGGUUUAAAUUUAAUCAUUCAAGGCAUGAGCAGCAUGAUAAUGCCCCUUACACAAGGAUCACUUGAAAGCAAAUGAUUUGUAUAUCUUUCCUUGACAUCCGGAAAUUAUUCGAUAUCAACCUUACCUGUGUGCAGUUUUUUUAAUUUUAGGAGCCAAGUUGAUUAUGUAUAACGGUUAGUAUAUUAUAUUAGGCACACAGGUAAAUUAGGCUUAUUGGUUCAAAUAUCAUGGGUAUUUCACAUCCUGACUAAAUAUUUUCUGAAAAAGUAGCAAUAUGCCAAGAAGGUUAAGAAUACUUGGAGAGCACAAGGAACAUGUUCCUAAUCAGGCAACCAUCUUAGAUGCAGAGAAUGCUUUAUUUGUGGACUGGAAGGAUUUGAAGAUGGAUGGAUACAACAGAUGCAGAGAACUACAUGUUUUUCCGGCAAUAAUGGAAAUGUCAGAAGAAAUGUUUAACAUUGUUAUCUGCAGACAAAUAAAUGAUGGUACGAUUUUUGUUUUGGAUCAUUAAUUAGAAGUUUCAGCCCAUGUCAUGAGUCAUGAUUAAGUUUGUUAAAUUCUUGCUUAUGAUAGGACUGAUAUAUUGCCUUUCAGUAGGCUGGCGCCAGUUCGCAAUGUAUCAUUAUAAUAAGUGAAGAGUAUUUAUUAUCAGGAUGGGAGAAAUAAUUACAUUUAUCUUUCACGUUAAAACAUUGUCUUGGAUUUUUGUACAAAAGAAUCUGACUGAUGUUGCUCUUUAUACUGUAAUAUAGACAUGGGUGGGUACCUUAGAAAA
Lolium perenne is the source of this 3362-nucleotide non-coding RNA. NCBI's taxonomy places the organism in Eukaryota, Viridiplantae, Streptophyta, Magnoliopsida, Poales, Poaceae. The record is from RefSeq and is a predicted model, not a curated record.